Molecule: long non-coding RNA, 266 nt
Organism: Malurus melanocephalus (red-backed fairy wren)
Lineage: Eukaryota; Metazoa; Chordata; Aves; Passeriformes; Maluridae
Exons: 2
Source: RefSeq, a predicted model, not a curated record
CCUCCACCCGCAGGAGGGACCCCCGGAAGGAGCACGAGCCAAAGAAACAGGAGGAGACCCCCCCCUCCUUCAGCCAUGCCAGCAAAUACGCCGCGCUCUCCAUGGACGGGGAGGAUGAAGGUGAUGAUGAAGAAGGAGCCGAGUAACACCUUCCUCCCCCUCCCCCUCCUCCUCCUCCUCCUCAGCCGCUGCAGGAACCUCUGGAGGUUCCCAAAAAUCCCAACCUUGAUCCAGGCGAGACGGAAAUAAAACCUAAAACUCAUGAA